RNAcentral lists this ribosomal RNA (252 nucleotides) under uncultured bacterium. Its description in RNAcentral is "partial 16S ribosomal RNA". It matches the Rfam family "Bacterial small subunit ribosomal RNA", at positions 524 to 776 of the family's 1533-position model. The record is from RNAcentral.
UACGGAGGGAGCAAACGUUGUCCGGAAUCAUUGGGCGUAAAGGGUACGAAGGUUGGAUCUUAAGUCAGUUGUUAAAGGUUACGGCUUAACCGUAAUUUGCAAUUGAAACUGGGAUUCUUGAGUUCGAGAGGGGACAGUGGAAUAUUUAGUGUAGCGGUGGAAUGCGUAGAUAUUAAAUAGAACACCCGAGGCGAAGGCGACUGUCUGGCUCGUAACUGACACUCAAGUACGAAAGCAUGGGUAGCGAACAGG